ACCCUCACCAUUCAAGAUAAAGAUUACAUAUUUCUCAAGUGUGUUUAGAGUACUGUCACAGAUGACAAGGAAAAACCCUUUGGACUUGGCCAACUAGCUGAGACGAUCAACAAAGGGAAGAGAAAACAAUGUUAUUCAACCGCUUCUUGACCGUAAAUCUUAGAGUUGCAAGAAGAACUUGAAGCUGUCGUGUUAAGCUCGCUAAAGUUGAUGAAGAAAAUGCUAGGCGUGAUGAGGAGCAUCGCAACACUCAAAGUCGUAUAACAAGCUUGGAGAUGGUAGUCACCUACUAAAACAACACUUCUCCUGGAUUUGUAGACUUUAUGGCUAAUGCAACAACACCACCUCACUAAAAACAAGCCAUAGCAGCGAACACAACUGUUGACGGACCAGCAGAUGGACAAGCCACUUCACCAUUGUCCAACACUUCUUCAACCUUUAUGUUGCCUUAGAAUACUAUCAUAACUUGUUUGUGAAUCAUAUUAUGGUUUUCUUUAAGGAUUUUUUUAUGGAUGUUUGCAGGUUUUUUGUAAGGAUGUUUGCAGGUUUUUUGGGUAUAAUCCUAAUCGAAAUCUGUUUUAGUAUUAAA
Camelina sativa (false flax) is the source of this 589-nucleotide long non-coding RNA. RefSeq lists it as uncharacterized. Lineage: Eukaryota; Viridiplantae; Streptophyta; Magnoliopsida; Brassicales; Brassicaceae. The record is from RefSeq and is a predicted model, not a curated record.